UUAAUUGAAGCCAAACCAGAGGCAUGUUAUUGUUAAUAACACUAUUGAUUCCAUAAUCCAAUUAAA
This 66-nucleotide transfer RNA is filed under the name Rhysodes sp. BMNH-844233. RNAcentral describes it as "tRNA-Asn". Lineage: Eukaryota; Metazoa; Arthropoda; Insecta; Coleoptera; Carabidae. The record is from RNAcentral.